RNAcentral lists this ribosomal RNA (440 nucleotides) under uncultured bacterium. RNAcentral describes it as "partial 16S ribosomal RNA". It matches the Rfam family "Bacterial small subunit ribosomal RNA", at positions 338 to 795 of the family's 1533-position model. The record is from RNAcentral.
GCUACGGGGGGCAGCAGUGGGGAAUAUUGCACAAUGGGGGAAACCCUGAUGCAGCGACGCCGCGUGAGCGAUGAAGUAUUUCGGUAUGUAAAGCUCUAUCAGCAGGGAAGAAGAUGACGGUACCUGACUAAGAAGCCCCGGCUAACUACGUGCCAGCAGCCGCGGUCAUACGUAGGGGGCAAGCGUUAUCCGGAUUUACUGGGUGUAAAGGGAGCGUAGACGGCGAUGCAAGCCUGAUGUGAAAGCCCGGGGCUCAACCCCGGGUCUGCAUUUGGAACUGUGUGGCUGGCGUGUCGGAGAGGCAGACGGAAGUCCUAGUGUAGCGGUGAAAGGCGUAGAUAUUAGGAGGAACACCAGUGGCGAAGGCGGCCUGCUGGACGAUGACUGACGUUGAGGCUCGAAAGCGUGGGGAGCAAACAGGAUUAGAUACCCUUGUAGUC